GAGAGUCCCCAUGGCCCCAGCAGCAAGCCCCUGCCUCUCUCCUGUCCGGCUGCUGCCCCACUCUGAGGCCCAGGUUCUCUUCUCCCAAGAGCGAGUGCGUUGGGAUCCAGACCUCGAGUAACCCUGUGCGAUGGCAGGCCUUCACCCUGGGACUGGCCAAGGGCCCUAGCCCCUUCAUCAGAGGUCACCCAUGACUCUCCCGCCCUCAUCCGUUUCUGCACAUUCCUCGCCAUGCCCAUCUCCCUCCUGCCCAUCCCGGAGCCCACCGGACUGCACAGCCAGCAUCAGCACAGCCUGUCCUGCUGAGUGGGGCUGCCUGCAGUCCAUGGCACGAGAUAGAGGCAGAACCUGGAGGCAGGCCGAGGUCGCCGCUACUCCUGGCCACUUCCAGACCACCCUGCCACCAUCCUCCCUUCAGUCCACGGUCCAGACUUCCUGGAAGGCACCUUGCAGCCUUCGUUUGCCGAAUUGUGAGAUGCGUUUGCUCACCGGCCUCCUCCCGCUGAGCGUCCCUGGUGUCUGACCCACCUCUGUUUCCUUCUGUAUGCACAGGUGUUUGUUGCAUGACUGAACGACAUUGAGGAGGGGACACGGCUCAGUAGAAACUUCCUUUAAGAUGCAUACAAGCUGCGGCAAAGCAAAGUGUGUUUACAAGGAGUUCCUGUGUGGGCUGGGCAGGGGCAUCAGCUGCUCUUACUGGGGGAGGAUGGUAGUGAUGCAAACACAAGAGGUAGGGUUGGCAGCCGCACCCCUUGCAACUAUCAGGGCAGCCUUGGGGCUUUCACAGGCGUGGUGAGGACCUGUCCUUGCGUGUUUCCCUCUUACCAUGUUACCAUGGAAACACACCAUGCAUGGACCUUACCCUGCGGAUAUGCCCCCUACGUGGCAAAAGGGAUGUGCGGAUGUGAAGGACCAGGAGAUGUGUGACAAUCCUGGGGGACCCAGGUGGGUCCUAAAUGUCACUUCAAGGGUCCUUUUAAGAGGAAGGCAGGUGGCCAGGCUUAUGCCUAUAAUCCCAGCACUUUGGGAGACCGAGGUGAGAGGGUCACUUGAGGCCAAGGCCAGCCUGGGCAAAAUAGCAAGACCUCGUCUCUACAGAAAAAAAUUAAAAAUUAGCCGGGCAUAGUGGCGUGCCCCUGUAGUCUCAGCUACCCGGGAGGCUGAAGCAGGAGGAUCACCUGAGCCCAGGAGAUGGGGGCUGCAGUGAAGCAUGAUGGCACCACUGCACUCCAGCCCUGCAUUCAAGCGCGGGUGACAAAGCGAGACCCAAUCUCAAAAAAGAAAAAGAGAGGGAGGCAGGAGACAGGUGUGAGGAGGGGAAGGGCUGCGAGACAGAGGCUUCGAGGAAAGCAGAAGGUCUCCAGAAGCCUGCAGAGGCCAGGAGGGAGCCUCCCAUGGGGCCUCUGGGAGGAGCCUGCUCUGCCGACGCCUAGAUGGAGCCCCUAACUCUCCUUCUGGAUUUCUGACUCUGGAGCUGUGAGAAACGAACUUCUGUUGGUUGAAGUCACGGGUUGGUGGUUAGUUAUUACAACAGAAACAGGAAACCGGUAUGUCGGGUCGCUCCCAGCCUCAAGCCCCAGCUCUAUUUUCCCAUAAAAGCUAAGUUCUCACCAUGAGGUGCUCUAGCUGCCAGGGUGGAGGAGGGGGUGUCACCCCACACUGAUUUGUGGGCCCAGGGGUGAGGACACCUCACCUGCCACCCAGAACCGGGCCCACAUCUCCCGGCGAGGCCUCCGUGGCUGCAUUGCCGGCAAUGACUAGGUGUUUUAUGCUGAACGUUGAAGAUAUUUUCCACUGGAGAUUUAACACGGAACAUCAAGAACCAUUGAAAUCACUCAUAUCAAUUGAAGAUACAAUAAUUGAACCCCAUAAAGAUUACUGAGAAGCUGGUGGAGCUAUAAGGAGAGGCAUAAAUAGAGAUAAAUUGGGCCCCCUCCACCCCCCCAGCCUCCCCCUGGAAGGAGCUCAUUAGAGAUGCUCACGGGGCCACUCAGUGACAGAGACCCACAGCAGGGAGAGGGGGGCCGGGGGGUUCCCACCACAGAGGGGCCUGAGCAGAUCCAGAAGCUUCUGUGCAUCCGUUAAUGGUCUUGAUCGGGUCCUUGGUGAAAGCGUGGAGCGAAGGGACCCAGGGGAUGACAGCUCUGUUCUCCAGCGGCCUAGGCAUCUCCUUUCCUCUAAGGGCCGCACCCCGAGCCCUGAUCUGGGCCGCACACGGAGCCCCGAUCAUAGCCAUACACUGAGUCCUAACCCAGGUCAUAAUCCAAGCCUCAUCCUAGGCAAAGUCUAAGCCAUGAUUCUGGCCCCAAACUGAGCCCUGCUCUGGUCACAGUCUGAGCUCUGACCAAGGUCACAUACUGAAGGCGGACUGUGACUGGAGGCUGAGUCCUGAGCCCUGGUGUCUCAUCUCAGGCGGGUCCAAGCUCCAGGACUGUGGGUGCUCCCAGAUGUCCACCACAUCCGCUCACGCUGCCCUCUCUCUGAGCUUCUCACAGGCCGGGCCCUGGCUGGGCUCUGCAUAUGGAAAGAAAGGCCCCCUGUCCUCAGGGCAUUUGACUCCCCGCAGGGAGGCAACACCUGAACAGUGAUAUCAGCCAAGUACUGUGGAUGACGGGAGUCCCCAGCCCGGCUCUCCCUGCCCUCCCAUGCCCAGGCCUCCAGCUCUGACCCUGAGAGCCCUCCAGCCGCCGUCUCCGCCCUCUGCCAGGCAGAUCAGAGCACUGCUCCCACCUCUGAGCGGGGCCCCUGUCCUGGUCUGCUGUGUGUAGAGGCUGAGGUCGAACAGGCUGAGCACCGGGGGCCUGGGGUGCACUCCCUGAGUGGCAGGGCAGGGCCCCCUCCAUGGGGCCUCACUCCUGCUUGUCAUGGUUCAGAAGAGCUGAACGGGGAAGCAAAAGGCACAAAGUCAGCCUGUCUGGCUUUGCAAUCUUGGCCUCCCCUCGGCUGCAUGGCACAGAGAGGUUUCUUGCCAUCUCAGAGCUUGGCCUGCCUAGCUGCAAGGGGAUGAUGACGGCAUCUGACUCCUGGGCUGUGAGUGUCAUCGGAGGGGACCCAGGCAAUCACUGACAAGUUCCCGGGGCAUGAAGCCCUCAUGAAAGGGAACACAACCAUGAUCAGGUCCUAGGAGCGCCACACUGCCCUGGACUCCAGACCCGUGAUCCUCCCAUGCUGCCCCCAGGGUCUCUCAAGGGCCCACAGCCUCCCUGCCCUGCUCUGUGCCCCCUUCCUGGGCCCUCCCGCCUGUGGACCCUUCUCCGUGCUGUUCCCUCCUCCUCUCCCAGAUCAACUCUCUAUUUCCCGGCUCCCUGGGCACAGGUGUGAGGCUAGCAGCUGUGACUGUGCAGGGUGAACGGCUGAUGCCCCAGCCACCCUCCCAGGCUCGUAAAUCUGCCCUAUUUCCCUCAAGCCGAUACUCAGCCAGGCCGCCUGCACAAUCCAAUAUAUUUCAGUUACAAGCUGGUCUAUUACCUGAUUCAUAACCGAUCUGUCAACCUGAGAAAUCAAUGCAUCCGUGGGAUGCCACAUACAUAACACCUGGUGCAUAAUUGAAUUCAGGCUCCCUGGCAUCUCAGUGCAUGGCAGGUGCUGCUGGGAACCUCAGCCCCCUCCCCUGGGACAGGGGUAGGGGCAGGGAGAACGUGCCUCCUGGCUGCGGCACCGGGGUGCAGCUCCGGAAGGACGUCUGCAGUUCUAGGCGUGGCUGGGUGAUUCGGAUCCUGGGCAUCCUUGCCAUUCUGUCUCAACUCUAUUUGAAGAGACCUCAGAGCCUUUUCACCCAGCCUCCCACACCUGAGCAGUGGGCCCCCUCUCUGCCUGCACACUCACUGCCUCUGAGCGGCCCAGCCCCCACUCUCUGCCUGCACACUCACUGCCUCUGAGCGGCCCAGCCCCCACUCUCUGCCUGCACACUCACUGCCUCUGAGCGGCCCAGCCCAUUGCAGACAGUACAGACCCACAGAGCCAAAAGUGCUGCAUUUACCAGGCCCCUCCCUAAGAUAUCAAAAUGCCAGCUACUCAGAACCUUCGGGGGAAGGUAUUAUUGGCUCAUUGUAUAAAUGAGGAGUCUGAAGUCAAGGAAACGACCUUCCUAAGUUUGAACCACCAAGCUUGAUUUGAAACCAGAGUCAGAACCCAGACCCACGACCUCUCGUGCAUCUGAGAUGAAGCCCAAGGGGCUGCUCCAGGGUGGUCAGCAGGGGCGGGGCCAGGGUGGUCAGCAGGGGCGGGGCCAGGGGCGGGGACUCCACAAACAGGAGCUUUCGGGGUCUACAGGGUCUGCAUGUGCAGGGGGCGCUGUCUCCCUCUGGUUGGUGUAUUUGUGGGGCAGAAACUCAAGUGAUUGGGCAAGACCCUGCCCGUGUCCAGCUGCCACGUGGCCUUGGGAGGUCUCCUGUCCCCUCCAGUCCACAAGGUCAUCUGAGCUCCUGGUUCCUGUGGCUGGACAUCCUCGCUGACCUCACCUCUGGCGGAUUCAGAGAGGCCAGGAGGUGCAGGCUGGGUGCCCUUGGCAGCCAAACCUUUCUGGAAGCCCAGGGCUGACUUCAGCUGGGUGCCCUUGGCACCUGGACCUUCUAGAAGCCUGGGGGCUGACUCCAGCUGGGUGCCCUCGGCACCUGGACCUUUCUGGAAGCCUGGGGGCUGACUCCGGCACCAGACACAGCUGGGGCUCCCCUCCCUCAUCCCGCCUCGCACCCUGUCAUUGAUUCUCCUUUUCAUGAUCGUGGCACCCACGAUGGAAAUGGCAUCUCAGCUCCUGCAAGGAUCUAUACCCCAAAAUAGCAAAAUAAUUCCCAUGGUGCGAGAAUGCUUCAGACAGAGGCAUGCGGGCUGGGGUUAUUGGGGCCAUGUUUCCACAUGCACCUAAUGUAUGGACACAUCUAUUCCUGGGGCCGCCAAAUCAAUCCAUGUGGAAGCCUGGGGAGCUGUGCGUCUCCCAUGUGUCAGAGCGUGGAGGGAGCGCCGGGGGUGGGGGGCAGGGGCAGAGGCCCAGAUGCUGGGUCCACCAUGGAGGCUGCCAGGUGCUGAGGGGGGUCAUUAAAUACACCCCCCACACCCCUCACUUGUGUGAAGGUCAGAGGACAAAGGACGGACAAAGGCAUCUGGUCACCUCUAAAGGGCCACACAGAUGCCUCUCACCCUCACCCCACAUCACAAAUGAGAAACUGAGGCCCGGUCAGGAAGGCAUCAGGUGGACAGGGGCCAGGACCCCAUUGCUUCAGGCUCUGUGAGUGGCUCCCUCGUGCCAACACAUGCACACAUAUGCACACACAGAGACACACAUGGACACACACACGUGCACAGACAUAUGCACACACACACAAACACGCAUAUACACAGACAUACACACGGAGACACAUGGACACACACACAGGCACAUAUGUGCACAGAGACACACAUGGACACACAGGUACACACAGACACCACAAUGCAGAUAUAUGCACAUGCGCAAGGAACACGUGCAUGCACACAUACACAUGCUCACACACAUAUGCACACACAUGCACACACAUGCUCACACAUGCUCACAUACAUAUGCACACACACAUGCUCACAUACAUAUACACACACACAUGCUCACACCGAAGCAAGACACACACAAACACACACAGGCACUUACACACCGGGAAGCACUUCUCAGGGGGUUGUGGCAUCUCUGCCUCUGGUGGCCUCUCCUGCAGGGGUCUCCACUUGGUGGUGUUGGGGGCCCCACCUGAGCCCUGGCGAGACCUCGCCUCCCCUCUCCCGGCUACAGGACAUGCCAGGGCAGGGUGUGGCUUGUUCACCGAAGCAAGCCCCAGGGUGGAUGCAGGGCUCAGGGAAGCCUCUCCCAAGGGAGCACAGGCAAGCGCCCUCAGUGGGGCACAGCUGGAGCAGCGCCUCCAUGGCCACAUGGCUCUGGGGUGAAGCCCGGCUCUUGGGCUGAAGGCCCCUGGUACCUGAGGGCCUCCCAUAUUCCCAUCUGGAAAGUGGGGUUGGCAAUGAUGCCCAUCUGCACAGCCAAGCCAGUCCAACACCUGGUGCCAAGCUGGCACCAGGCACACGGGCACACAGACCCCAGAGUGGACGGUGGGAUGUGAGGGGAAGGGGGAAGGACAGGUGACAGCAGAGGCAGGCUCUGAGCCAGAGUCAUGCAGGACGCACUGCCCAGCACUCCUUUCCCCGAGCCCUAAACAGACUCACAGAAGGUCUCAGCCAAAGGGGCUCUAGAGACCGGGGGGCCCAUCUCACAGAUGGGGAAACCAAGGCCCAGGGAGAAGAGGUUCAUUCAGGAAUACGCAGCAGAUCACAGACCCUCAGAACUCGACGGGCCUCCAGGCUGCUCCCUGCCAGAUGGGAACUCGCAGAGCAGCCACGAGACAGCGGAAGGGGCAGGGGCAGGGGCAGGGGCAGGGUCUGCCGUCUUCCUCUGGGACUCGCCCCAUCUUGAGCCGAACAGAUGAAACCGUUGACAGUGAAGCCUCGCCUGGGAGGACUUCAGCUCACAGCACGUGGGCCGGCCUGAAAGGGAGGACCCAGGGAAGGGGUGCUGGGAGGGCUGGGGACCCGGCAGCUCCUGGCCGGCAUCCUCUAUGAACUGCAGCAAUUCAUUAUCCUUCCUCCAGCUGAUGAGGAUGAUCAGGAGGACAAUUAGUCUUGGAAUUACCGCGGAGGAGACCGUUAAGAGAAAAAUAAAUUAAAAAGAAAUCCAUUCGAGGUGUAAUUGUAAUACAGUGUAUCAUAGUCAAUUGAAUCACAAAUACAAGCUGGUCCCUUGUCGAUUGAUUUCAGCAAGUAAACAAUUUGGGUAUCUAAAUUGGAAACUCGCCGGGAAAAGGAGCAAUGAUUUGGUUAAAGGGAGAACUGAAAACGUCAGGCCAAAAAUUGGUUCUAGGUGUCUGGCUGCUACAGGACUGUGCAGGUGACCCUAGAUGGGAGGGAGGUCACCAGCUCCUCCCUGCCUGCAGGUCAAGGUCACCCCAUCUGGAAGCUACCUAGACCCCAGCAAUGUUACCUGACCUGUGACACCUUUGUUCCUGUGUCCUCCUCUGUGCCGCCCAUGGUGAAUGUGGCUUCUCUGUCUACAUGGAUGCACUCCCACCACACUGGGAGCUUCUGGGGCACAGGAGUCCUGCUUUACUUCCUAUGUUGAGCCCAGGUAGGUGGGGUGGGGGUGCUUAGAAGGCAGCUGUCCAGAGAGCAAAUGAAUGAAUGGGUGGAUAUGUGGGGGACAGGUGGCGAAAUGAAUGAAUGAAUGCAUAGAUAGGGGAUGGAUGGAUGGAUGAGUGGGUUGGUGGAUGGGUGGAUAGAUGGGUGGGUGGAUGGAUGGGAGCUGGAUAGGGAAUGGAUGGGUGGAUGGUAGAUGAAUGGGGGAAUUGGAUGAAUAGAUGGAUGGGUGAAUGGGGGAAAGAUGGGCAAAUGUCUGGGGAAUGGAUGGGUGAAUGGAUGGAUGGGUGGGUAGGGGAUGGAUAGAUGGAUGCAUAGAUGGGGGAUGGAUGGGGAUGGAUGAGUGGAUGGAUAGAUGGGGCUUGGAGAGAUAGAUGGACAGGUAGGUGGGUGGGUGAGUGGAUGGAUGGGGAAUGGAUGGAUAAAUGGGAGAUGGAGGGAUAGAUGGAUAAAUGGCUAGAUGGGGAGGAAUGGAUGGAUACGUGGAUGGAUAGGCAUUGGAGGGAUAGAUGGGUGGGUGGAUGGGUGGGUGGGUGGGUGGAUGGAUGGGGAAUGGGUGAAUAGAUAGGGGAUGGAAGAAUAGAUGGCUGAAUGGAUGGAUAGGUGGAUGGAUGGGGGUUAGAGGGAUAGAUGGGUGGGUGGGUGGAUUGAUGGGGAAUGGAUGAAUGGAUGGAAGGAUAGAUGGAUAAAUUGAUGAUGGGGAAGAAUGGAUGGACAGGUGGAUGGAUGGAUGGAUGGAGGUUAGAGGGAUAGAUGGGUGGGUGGAUGGAUGGGGGUAUGGGUAGAUGGAUGGGUAGAUGGAUGGGGAAUGGAUGAAUAGAUGGGGGAUGGAAGGAUAGAUGGAUAAAUGGAUGGAUGGGGAGGAAUGGAUAGAUAGGUGGAUGGAUGGAUGGGGGUUAGAGGGAUAAAUGGAUGCAUGGAUGGAUGGGGAAUGGGAGGAUGGAUGGGGGAUGGAGAGAUGCUUAAACAGACUUAAAAGACUAAGGUAUUGACAGCAGGUAGCCAUUUCUCCCCCUCUGCAAGAACUUUGGACCUGAGAUUCCAGAGCCCUUUUUAAAUCUUCCAACAAGGAAACUAUUUUGUAGCAAAAAAAAAAAAAAAAAAAAAGCAGAGUCACACCUGAGGCCUCCAGAAUUCCCUGGCUUCCUCCAUCACCCUGAAGCAGGUGGCCUCCUGUGCAAUGAAGAGGGUGCCUGAAGACCCCAGUUAGAAACAAUGCCCCAUGCGGAGGGGGUGCUGUCCUACAGGAUGGGGUGUGUGCUGAGAACGAGGGACUUAUAUCUGGAGCUCCUUCUCCCCCAGGCAGAACCUAUGGGGUGGUGUCUCUCAUGGUUACAUUCUCCACCAGUUCACAUUCCCCUUCUAGGGACUGCCCAAGAUAAUGCCCAGUGCAGGAAUGUUUCCACCAGGGGUCACAGGAAUGGCUCUGCUGCCCUGGGGGCUGAGUUGGCCACCUGUCUGGUGCCACCAAGUUAACAAGCAAAGCAGCAUGAAGGCAGUGGCUGGGGAAUCAACCCUGAUUAUCAAGGAUAGGAGGCCUGAAGAACCACAUGAAGAGAGUGCCCACAACCCAGAGGAUCUCCUGGAUACAGCUGUGUUACCAUGAUGUCCAGUGGAAGACACCACAACCCCAUUCAGGAGGGACCUCCAAGCCUGAAAGCCUCAGAGUGAUGGUUUGACUCACACCACCAGUAAAAUAACUUCCAACAAGCUGAGCAAGAAGAAAAGGGGAAUUGUGGCAAAUUGCAUUUUCCGAAAAUGGUCACCUUACCACUAUUCCAUCAAGAGGUGGUGCUAUGGUUUGAAUGUGUCCCCCAAAGUUCAUGCGCUGAAAACUUUACGUAAACACAAAUGCAAUAGUGUUGAAUGGUGGGACCUUUCAACACUAUCGCAAGGGUGAUUAGGUGCUGAUGGCUCUGCCCUCAUGAAUGGAUUGUCAUUGUUGAGGGAGUGGGUUCCUGAUGAGAGAAUGGGUACAGCCUUUCCCUCUUUCUCACAUGUGCUCUUGUCCUUCUGCCAUAAGAUCAUGGAGCAAGAAGGCUCUUGAAAGAUGCCGGUCCCUGGACCUUGGACUUCCCAGCCUCCAGAACUGUAAGAAAUAAAUCUCUGUUCGAUAUGAAGUAUUCAGUCUUGGGUAUUUGGUUAUAGUAGCACAAGCAGACUAAGACAAGCAGAGUCUCCUUCCCCUCCUCUGGAACCUAGGGAGCUUGUGACUGCUCCAACCAAGAGAAUGUGAUGGAGGUGAUGCCAUGUGACUUCUGAGGAGAAGUCAUAAAAAGGAUGCAGUUUCUGCCUGGCUCACUCUCUUGAAAUGCUCCCCCAGGAGCCAGCUGCCAUCUUGUAAGGAAGCCCAAUCCACAUGGAGAGGAAAAGUGUGGGUGUUGGAUCCUCAGCCCCAGCUUAGGUCCCAGCAGACAGCCAGCAUCAACCAGGAAGCAUGUGACUGAGUGAGGCUUCAGGUGAUUCCAGCCCCAAGCCUUUGAGCCAAACCUGGGGGGCAGGAGGCUGGCAGGGUGAGUAAGACUAGGGAUAUGUAGGGCCAAAGGGAAGAGAGGACCCAUGUUCCUGCCCUGGUCCAGGCCCUGCAUUUUCAUUUUGCACUGGGACCCCCAAAUCCUGUGGCUGCUGCUGAGCGGAAGGGACUUCUCCAGUGAGCUCCCUCGGCAGAUCCAUGGCUCAGAGCUCAAGGGGCCCAGCAGUGUCCUGGGGCCCUAAGGCCAGCAGCCGGGAAGUUCCUGGGCAGUGGGUUCCCCAAGGCACGGUCCCCACAGCUCCCACAUGAGGAGGGUGCCAGGUCCAACCCUCCCACAGCAGCCUGAGCCUCCACGCCCUGCAAGCUUGUCCAUGUCACCCUCCCGGGCAGGAUUUGAGGCAGAGGUGUGUGAUCCAUGCUGUCUCCAUCGUACCAGAGACAGCCAGCAAGGAGGGCAGGAGAGAGAGGGCCACAGACUCCUGAGCCCUGGCCUGGCACAUGAUACCCACUGGACAGACACCUCUGGUCCACUGACUAUGCACCAACGUCAUGUUCUUUCCAUCACCUAUCAGGGGAACUUUCCCCAGAAGUUCAACAAUUCUGACCUUUGGGUUCCCAUAAAUUGUGUCCAGCCUGGGAACCAGAAGACCCAUUUUCAUUCGAGCUCUGCCAUGGAGGUGCUGUACGACUUUGGGGAAGCCCAGUCUCUCUCUGGGCCUUGGCCUCUCAAGAAGGAGGGGGCUAGUGAAGGUGCACAGACGCCCUCCCUCAGUGGCCUGCUGCCUCCCGAGGUGCUACCGUGGCACUGCCCUCCCGUCCACCCCUUCUCCUAUCCUGUCCUGUCCUGGCACCAGAUGGACACCUGCCAGGUGGGCCUGUCUGGCUGCGGCUGCUUGGCUGGGACAGCGGGCAGGGCUCUCAGCCUCCUGCUGCUCCAGACAGGGGACCUGAAGGUGACUGUGACCCUUCAGUCCUGAGUGGGGAGGCCGCGUCUGGCCAGGUGGUAGCAGCUGCUGCCAAGGCAGCACUGUCCUGGCUUCCCCUCCUGCUGGCUCUCAGACUGAACUCCUCACCCCAGAACACCUGCUCCCACCCAGGGCCCACCCCGGGGAAGUGCUGACGGGGCAGGGGCUCAGGGCAGCCAGUCACAGGGCUGCAUUCCACAGUGGGCUGACCUCCCACAUAGCCUCCAAGGUCACGCAGCUCACAGAGAGCGAAGGCAGAGCCCCCAGCCUGGUCCUCCCUCCCUGGCAGCCUGGCUCAGGCAUCUCCCUGCAGGCAAGCCCCUCCUCUCCCGGCUCCAUUUCCUCAUCUGUAAACUGUGCACGUGACCCCGGCCCACGGGCUGUCUCCCAGCUGCGUAGGAGACAAUUGGGUGGUGAGCACCUGGCCCCUCCACCAUCAAUUCUCGGCCUGCCCUGCCCCCAGAGCCUCCUCCCUCAGCCUCAUCAUGAGCCUCCCAGCAAAUGCGGCCUGCCUGGACUGAGUCUGGGCUCCUCAGCCUCUGGAGCCCUCACACCUGCAGCCAGGAGGUGCCAAAUCCAAUUUGCUCCCUGACACCUCCUCGGACAUCCUGGGGCCCGCCUGCUGCAGCAGCAAAUCUGAGAAGGUGGCAGCAGCUCGGGGGCGGACCGUCUGCCCAGCUCCCCUACCUAUCACUGAGCCCAGCAGUGCUGCCUCAGUGGUGUGUUUCUCAGGCCCCUGGGAAGAAAAUUGUUGAGAAAUAGCUUCACAGAAUCUCUAAAACCCUGAAGCACCAUGUGUGGUGCUGGCUUUGUGGGGGUUUCAGGCCUUGGCGGAGGGCGUGGGGCAGGGAGAGGCUGGGGCCAUCUCCUCCCUCUGCCUGAGCAGGAACCAGCAUCUGCAGACCUAGCUGGAUGCGCGUGGAAGGGGGCGCACUGUCUCCUGGGGGGGUCACAGACUCUGCCUGCCCUGCAGGGUCUGUUGUGGGCCCCCACCCUCAGUCCUUGGCUGAGGAGGGUGCUAGGGACGCCUCAGUGCUGGCCGCUGUGCUGACGCAGCCUGGGGCAGCUGGUGAGACGCUUUGCCCUCAGUGCACUGCCCACCUGGUGCCCUCUGUGCCACGGUGGGCGGAGCAGCCACUCUGCAUGGACCCUCCUGUUCUUGGGGGUCCUACUCCCUACUCCUGGGGGAACAGGUGCAGAGAAGAGGAGCCUGGGAUUGCCAUAGAGCAGGCUGUACCCUGCCAGGGACCCCCUUCAUGCCCCCAACGUGGAGCUGGGUGGCAAGCAGCAGAGAGGCCACAGCCUGGGAGCAGCCAGGGCCAAAGCCAGCCCUUUGCUUUCGGAGUGGGAAGCUGAGGUCUCAGGAGGGGCAAGGGCUUGUCCUAGGCCCUCAGGGAGGAAGACAAACGACCUCCGCCCAUCAAGGGCUCAGUGUGGCAUUCCAGGCCACUCAGGCAGCCUCCUCCUCGGGGAAGCCCCUCUUGGUGGGGGCUGGGACAGCCCCAGGCAAGGAGCAGUGCCCUGGCUCCACGCAGCACCAAGCCAGCUUCCCACCCCUCCACCACAGCAAAGCCCCCAGCAUGCCCCUCCCCAGCUGUGAGCACAGGUUCAUGUUCAUACACAAGCUCACACACAGCCACACUCACUCCCCAGCAAGCCCCAGCCUGCCGCCUGCAGUCCUGUUGGCCUCCAUUCCCAUCCACAUCCCACCCAGGCUUCAUCUCAGGGGUCCCUGACAGGUGAAGACAGGCACGUGGCUGGAUAAGCCACAGCGGUUUAUUCGGGUGCUCAGCUGGGGCCGACACAGGGGCGAGU
This 12396-nucleotide long non-coding RNA is filed under the name Homo sapiens (human). Its description in RNAcentral is "non-protein coding LINC00051:7". Lineage: Eukaryota; Metazoa; Chordata; Mammalia; Primates; Hominidae. The record is from RNAcentral.